Molecule: ribosomal RNA, 454 nt
Filed under: uncultured Prevotella sp.
Lineage: Bacteria; Pseudomonadati; Bacteroidota; Bacteroidia; Bacteroidales; Prevotellaceae
Description: partial 16S ribosomal RNA
Rfam family: Bacterial small subunit ribosomal RNA
Source: RNAcentral
ACGGGAGGCAGCAGUGAGGAAUAUUGGUCAAUGGACGGAAGUCUGAACCAGCCAAGUCGCGUGAAGGAUGAAGGUAUUAUGUAUUGUAAACUUCUUUAGACGCAGAGAAAUAAGAGGGUCGUGACCCUUGAUGCUAGUAUGCGUAGAAUAAGGAUCGGCUAACUCCGUGCCAGCAGCCGCGGUAAUACGGAGGAUCCGAGCGUUAUCCGGAUUUAUUGGGUUUAAAGGGAGCGCAGGCGGCCUUUUAAGCGUGUUGUGAAAUGUAGGAGCUCAACUUCUGCACUGCAGCGCGAACUGGACGGCUUGAGUACGCGGGAAGUAGGCGGAAUUCGUCGUGUAGCGGUGAAAUGCUUAGAUAUGACGAAGAACUCCGAUUGCGAAGGCAGCCUACUGUAGCGUUACUGACGCUAAAGCUCGAAAGUGUGGGUAUCGAACAGGAUUAGAUACCCUGGUA